GACGAACGCUGGCGGCGUGCUUAACACAUGCAAGUCGAACGAUGAACCCGGAGCUUGCUCUGGGGGAUUAGUGGCGAACGGGUGAGUAACACGUGAGUAACCUGCCCUGGACUCUGGGAUAAGCGUUGGAAACGACGUCUAAUACCGGAUAGGACCUUGGAUCGCAUGAUCUGGGGUGGAAAGUUUUUUCGGUCUGGGAUGGACUCGCGGCCUCUCAGCUUGUUGGUGAGGUAAUGGCUCACCAAGGCGUCGACGGGUAGCCGGCCUGAGAGGGUGACCGGCCACCCUGGGACUGAGACACGGCCCAGACUCCUACGGGCGGCAGCAGUGGGGAAGAUUGCACAAUGGGCGAAAGCCUGACGCAGCAACGCCGCGCGCGGGAGGACGGCCUUCGGGUUGUAAACCGCUUUUAGUAGGGAAGAAGGGCUUCGGCUUGACGGUACCUGCAGAAAAAGGACCGGCUAACUACGUG
Molecule: ribosomal RNA, 472 nt
Filed under: uncultured bacterium
Lineage: Bacteria
Description: partial 16S ribosomal RNA
Rfam family: Bacterial small subunit ribosomal RNA
Source: RNAcentral